RNAcentral lists this ribosomal RNA (253 nucleotides) under uncultured bacterium. Its description in RNAcentral is "partial 16S ribosomal RNA". It matches the Rfam family "Bacterial small subunit ribosomal RNA", at positions 524 to 776 of the family's 1533-position model. The record is from RNAcentral.
UACGUAGGGUGCAAGCGUUAAUCGGAAUUACUGGGCGUAAAGCGUGCGCAGGCGGUUUUGUAAGACUGUCGUGAAAUCCCCGGGCUCAACCUGGGAAUGGCGAUGGUGACUGCAAGGCUAGAGUUUGGCAGAGGGGGGUAGAAUUCCACGUGUAGCAGUGAAAUGCGUAGAUAUGUGGAGGAACACCGAUGGCGAAGGCAGCCCCCUGGGUCAAAACUGACGCUCAUACACGAAAGCGUGGGGAGCAAACAGG